Molecule: ribosomal RNA, 496 nt
Filed under: uncultured bacterium
Lineage: Bacteria
Description: partial 16S ribosomal RNA
Rfam family: Bacterial small subunit ribosomal RNA
Source: RNAcentral
GAUGAACGCUGGCGGCGUGCCUAAUACAUGCAAGUCGAGCGAACGGACGAGAAGCUUGCUUCUCUGAUGUUAGCGGCGGACGGGUGAGUAACACGUGGAUAACCUACCUAUAAGACUGGGAUAACUUCGGGAAACCGGAGCUAAUACCGGAUAAUAUUUUGAACCGCAUGGUUCAAAAGUGAAAGACGGUCUUGCUGUCACUUAUAGAUGGAUCCGCGCUGCAUUAGCUAGUUGGUAAGGUAACGGCUUACCAAGGCAACGAUGCAUAGCCGACCUGAGAGGGUGAUCGGCCACACUGGAACUGAGACACGGUCCAGACUACUACGGGAGGCAGCAGUAGGGAAUCUUCCGCAAUGGGCUAAAGCCUGACGGAGCAACGCCGCGUGAGUGAUGAAGGUCUUAGGAUCGUAAAACUCUGUUAUUAGGGAAGAACAUAUGUGUAAGUAACUGUGCACAUCUUGACGGUACCUAAUCAGAAAGCCACGGCUAACUACGU